This is a long non-coding RNA of Mya arenaria, 356 nucleotides long. RefSeq lists it as uncharacterized. Lineage: Eukaryota; Metazoa; Mollusca; Bivalvia; Myida; Myidae. The transcript has 4 exons. The record is from RefSeq and is a predicted model, not a curated record.
UAAAAUCAAACAUAUUUUCAAAGGGAUUGUCUUUAAAGAAAACAAGGUUGUACUUAAAUGUUUGUUUGAGGACUUGGAUGAAGUUUGUGAACAACAUGAAGAAGUCACUGGAAGCGACGAUGGUAAUUCCGACGAUGUUGCCACACCCACCACAGAAAUAAAUAAGACAUGGCGGGAGCUCACUGCACUGUUGAAUCAAGCCAAACACAAUUUGGAUACAUCAGAAAAGACACAGAAGGAACUGCGUGAUGAGCUUAAACGAGUGAAACAAGCUCUACAUCAUUCCGAAAAGAAAAGUAAACAGCUAUAUGAUCUGCUGAUACAAGGUCAACAUGAACUUGACCAAUUGAAAAAGG